AACGAACGCUGGCGGCAUGCCUAACACAUGCAAGUCGAACGAGACCUUCGGGUCUAGUGGCGCACGGGUGCGUAACGCGUGGGAACCUGCCCUUAGGUUCGGAAUAACUCCCCGAAAGGGGUGCUAAUACCGGAUAAUGUCUUCGGACCAAAGAUUUAUCGCCUUUGGAUGGGCCCGCGUUGGAUUAGCUAGUUGGUAGGGUAAAAGCCUACCAAGGCGACGAUCCAUAGCUGGUCUGAGAGGAUGAUCAGCCACACUGGGACUGAGACACGGCCCAGACUCCUACGGGAGGCAGCAGUGGGGAAUAUUGGACAAGGGGGGAAAGCCUGAUCCAGCAAUGCCGCGUGAGUGAUGAAGGCCUUAGGGUUGUAAAGCUCUUUUACCCGGGAUGAUAAUGACAGUACCGGGAGAAUAAGCGCCGGCUAACUCCGUG
This 433-nucleotide ribosomal RNA is filed under the name uncultured bacterium. RNAcentral describes it as "partial 16S ribosomal RNA". It matches the Rfam family "Bacterial small subunit ribosomal RNA", at positions 29 to 507 of the family's 1533-position model. The record is from RNAcentral.